GAGGGUGAAAGGCCCGUAGGGGUGGGGCUCAGACUCUGACAGUACUUCCCUGAUGAGACCUUGGAGUCGGGUUGUUUGUGAAUGCAGCCCAAAGUGGGUGGUAAACUCCAUCCAAGGCUAAAUACAAGCACGAGUCCGAUAGUAAACAAGUACCGUGAGGGAAAGUUGAAAAGUACUUUGAAGAGAGAGUAAACAGUGCGUGAAACCGCUSAGAGGUAAACGGGUGGAGUUGAACUGCUUGUUCUGUGAAUUCAGCUGGUGACUGUAUUAUGAUCUUGGUUAUUUUGAUUGGACAGCGGGGUCUGUGUAGCAGCAGGUCUUUGCCUUCGGGUGAGGAUGCGCGAUUUACUUAUCAAGUAAUGUGCGCCCCGUUUGUUCUUCGAAUCGGUUGCCAGUGCACUUUCUCAGAGCGCUCAUCACGACCGGCACUGCUGUCUGGCUGUUAUGGUUAAACCGGUUUGGCAUAGUUCUUGUAGCUUUGUCGAGUCGGGACGGCAGGUAGCUCGUUGGCUUGCUUGUGGUUCGCUGCAGGUGUUCGGCUUUCGGGUGUAAUCAGCUGACCAUGAUGGUUCUGUACAGUGUGUCGGAGACGGCGGCUUGUGGUGUGUGCAUGUGUGGUGGUUUGCAGGCGUCUCUGGGUUUGGUUGCCUUGUUCGCUUGUCAAAGCAAGCCUGGCRAUAGCCKUGAGACGUUCUGUGGGCUGCUGCAUGUGUGACAUCUUCACAGGGCCGACAGUCUGUGAUGUUGUGGUAGACUAUCCACCUGACCCGUCUUGAAACACGGACCAAGGAGAGUAACAUGUGCGCGAGUCAUUGGGCGUAACGAAACCCA
This 831-nucleotide ribosomal RNA is filed under the name Lasiotocus choanura. Its description in RNAcentral is "partial large subunit ribosomal RNA". The record is from RNAcentral. Lineage: Eukaryota; Metazoa; Platyhelminthes; Trematoda; Plagiorchiida; Monorchiidae.